RNAcentral lists this non-coding RNA (24 nucleotides) under Arabidopsis thaliana (thale cress). The record is from RNAcentral. Lineage: Eukaryota; Viridiplantae; Streptophyta; Magnoliopsida; Brassicales; Brassicaceae.
GAUGGUGAUGUAGAAAUAUCAUGG